RNAcentral lists this transfer RNA (62 nucleotides) under Listeria monocytogenes FSL F6-684. Its description in RNAcentral is "tRNA-OTHER". It matches the Rfam family "tRNA", at positions 15 to 71 of the family's 71-position model. From Rfam's summary of the family: Transfer RNA (tRNA) molecules are approximately 80 nucleotides in length. The record is from RNAcentral. Lineage: Bacteria; Bacillati; Bacillota; Bacilli; Caryophanales; Listeriaceae.
GGGGUUAACAUGCCUGCCUGUCACGCAGGAGAUCGCGGGUUCAAAUCCCGUCGGGACCGCCA